RNAcentral lists this ribosomal RNA (600 nucleotides) under Triticum aestivum (bread wheat). Its description in RNAcentral is "partial small subunit ribosomal RNA". The record is from RNAcentral. Lineage: Eukaryota; Viridiplantae; Streptophyta; Magnoliopsida; Poales; Poaceae.
AUGCAAGAGUUUCACUUCUUGUAUGGCCAAAAGUAUUGGUGGGGUAGCUCACCGGACAAAAGGUCCCUACAUUGAAUCUCAUGGAAGAAAUUGGCUACACCUAAACAUGUUGGCAUCAUGGGUUUUCGAGAUUUUGAACUUUUCAAUCUUUCAAUGCUUGGAAAACAUGGCUGGCGCCUUCUAAUAAACCCAGACAUUUUUUGUGCUAGGGUGUUGAAAGGGAAAUAUUACCCACAUUCAGGUUUCCUGCAAGCCACUGCCUCCACUAGUUCUUCGACGACAUGGAAGGCUAUCAUAGCAGGACGCGUUGCACUGGACGUUGGGCUCAUUGAGCGUGUGGGGGAUGGUUCAUCAAUAUCUAUUUGGACUGACAAAUGGAUCCCAAACACUGCUACUUUUAUGCCAAUGGGCAGAUUGGGUAAUGACCCAUUGGAGAAGGUUUCAGACCUCAUUGACCCAUACAACGGUGGCUGGAACAUUGAUCUAGUUCGGAAUAAUUUCCUCUCUGCCGACAUUGAUGCUAUAUUGAAUAUACCCUUGAGGUCAACAGGGGGGGCACUCUUGCUUGGGCCUUGGAAACAUCGGGAAACUACUCUGUAA